This 952-nucleotide ribosomal RNA is filed under the name Pedobacter sp. Its description in RNAcentral is "bacterial SSU rRNA". It matches the Rfam family "Bacterial small subunit ribosomal RNA", at positions 49 to 1000 of the family's 1533-position model. The record is from RNAcentral. Lineage: Bacteria; Pseudomonadati; Bacteroidota; Sphingobacteriia; Sphingobacteriales; Sphingobacteriaceae.
UAAUACAUGCAAGUCGAACGAUACCAAGAGGCUUGCUUCUUGGAAAAGUGGCGCACGGGUGCGUAACGCGUAUGCAACCUACCUUAAUCAGGGGGAUAGCCCGAAGAAAUUCGGAUUAACACCGCAUAAAAACACAGAAUAGCAUUAUUCAAUGUUCAAAUAUUUAUAGGAUUAAGAUGGGCAUGCGUGUCAUUAGCUAGUUGGCGGGGUAACGGCCCACCAAGGCGACGAUGACUAGGGGAUCUGAGAGGAUGACCCCCCACACUGGUACUGAGACACGGACCAGACUCCUACGGGAGGCAGCAGUAAGGAAUAUUGGUCAAUGGAGGCAACUCUGAACCAGCCAUGCCGCGUGCAGGAAGACGGCCCUAUGGGUUGUAAACUGCUUUUAUCCGGGAAUAAACCUUUCUACGUGUAGAGAGCUGAAUGUACCGGAAGAAUAAGGAUCGGCUAACUCCGUGCCAGCAGCCGCGGUAAUACGGAGGAUCCAAGCGUUAUCCGGAUUUAUUGGGUUUAAAGGGUGCGUAGGCGGCCUGUUAAGUCAGAGGUGAAAGACGGUAGCUCAACUAUCGCAGUGCCUUUGAUACUGACGGGCUUGAAUGAACUAGAGGUAGGCGGAAUGAGACAAGUAGCGGUGAAAUGCAUAGAUAUGUCUCAGAACACCGAUUGCGAAGGCAGCUUACUAUGGUUUUAUUGACGCUGAGGCACGAAAGCGUGGGGAUCAAACAGGAUUAGAUACCCUGGUAGUCCACGCCCUAAACGAUGAAUACUCGCUGUUAGCGAUAUACAGUUAGCGGCUAAGCGAAAGCGUUAAGUAUUCCACNCUGGGGAGUACGCUCGCAAGAGUGAAACUCAAAGGAAUUGACGGGGGCCCGCACAAGCGGAGGAGCAUGUGGUUUAAUUCGAUGAUACGCGAGGAACCUUACCCGGGCUUGAAAGUUAGUGAAUUAUU